AACCAGGUGAAUGAAGUCUGACCUUGUUUUCCAGGAUUUUACCAUGGAAAAGAGCACACAUGUGGGAGUGAAAGCACCUUGCUGCAGUCCUGCCUCUGCCACUCAAUGUUGGGUCCAGGCAAGAAGCUCAACCUUCCAGAGCUUCAAAGUUUUCCAUUUACGGUGAUUUUAACCCAGGAGUAUUUUUCAGUAUCAUUUGUGGAGCUUUUUAAAAUGCACAACUCCAAGCCAGACCUGUGGAAUCAGAAUUUCCUGAGGAAUGCCUUUGCUCUUUGGAUGAUUAGAAGGUAUAGAUAAGCUGAAGUUAAUGAAUGAUGUUCACAUCAUUGCCCUAUGGGAUCAUAUGAGGAGGAUGUGAGCAUCCCCGCCGGUGCGGACUGGCUCUCAAUCACAGUUCCUUUAUCCCGGUGCCAGAAGGAGCAUCCCGAUUAUUUUCGAAACGAGAGAAAAAGGAAAUGAAAACUAACUUCCGGCCCUCUCGGGAUCCAGACCACAGCUCUGGACUCAGGCAGCAGCUCAUCAAAGCCAUGAAGUAACAAAACUGUGCUGCCCUCUGU
RNAcentral lists this long non-coding RNA (557 nucleotides) under Heterocephalus glaber (naked mole-rat). Its description in RNAcentral is "lncRNA (ENSHGLG00100033380.1)". The record is from RNAcentral. Lineage: Eukaryota; Metazoa; Chordata; Mammalia; Rodentia; Bathyergidae.